Non-coding RNA from Knufia fluminis, 138 nucleotides. NCBI's taxonomy places the organism in Eukaryota, Fungi, Ascomycota, Eurotiomycetes, Chaetothyriales, Trichomeriaceae. The record is from the annotation of a GenBank genome assembly.
GCGUUUAGUGUAGUGGUUAUCACACCGUGAGCAAUUUUCACUUUAGACGUUACUGGCGCCUAUAUUAACGAUUCCUCAGGGAUUUUGAUAUCAAUUUCAUACCUUCCGGUAACCGCGGUUCGAAUCCGCGAUCGACCU